AUAAAUCUGCAUAUUUCUUAAAAUUAUAAACUCUUUUAAACUAGAUGAACGAAAUAAGAACAAAGAUGAACUGAUUGAACAUUAUAUUAACAUAUAUUAUCUGCUUAAUCAGGUUAAAUUAGAAGUUUUAUCGUUCUUGUUCUUAAAACUCAAUCCAUCAAAGCAAAAUAUCAUAAAUUAUUAGGCUUGGGUGUGGUUUGAUUUGGAUUGGUUUUGAUCCCAACUUGACAUCAAAACCAAAUUAGCUAGUUUGGAAAAUUUUCACUCCAAAUCAAUUCACUCUAGCUCUUAAAUUGAAAACCCAAAUUAAAUCGGUUCAAUUUGGUUCCAUUUGUUAGUCAGUUUAGACUUCUAAAUAAAACUACAUCAUAAAAAAAUGAAAAGUCAUGCAAAUAAAUAAAUAAUAUAUAUUCAGUUUAACCAUUCACGCUGACACUGUCAAGAACCAACACAAAACCAUAACCAAACCAAAUCUUCAUUAAGUAUGCCAAACAUCCUCCAAAAAAGGGUACCGUCCAUUGUUAUACAAUCACCUUUACCAAACAUGCCAUAAAAGAGGGUUGGGGAGGGGGGGAGGGGGCUUAAAGGUUAAAAGUUGCUAAAAAACAAUCCCUAAGCAAGAAUCAAUUAACAAACCCAGAUAAUUAUGCACUUUCAAAGUUUAUUUUACUAUCUUUCUUGUUCAACAACUUAGCAAUCACUUAUUUUUGUACCAUAUCUACAAAAAAUUGCACCACAACCUCUCAAUAGGGGUAACGAGCAUAAAGUCAUUUAAGGAUGUUGUGCUUCUAAAACUUAGGAUUUUGUACAAUGAAGAAUUAAAACCAAAUAAAGAGAAAAAUUAUUUUAUGCUCUUUUCUUCUUUUUGAGAAGUGGGGUGGUUAAUAUUUUAAGAAAUAGAACAUCACUUUCUAUAUAGGCACUAUUAACUUUCUAGCAUAGUUGAAAGAUGAGAAAAGAAGGCGAUCCUGAAAACAAUCAAAAAAGAGUUUUCACGCCAAGGAUUGCUUGUGACCAAAGGCCUUUGCUGGUUAGACUUAGGAAUAAUAGGUAAAAUCAAGAAAAGAAAAUUAAAACGUCCAAAUUCAAAUAAAAAUCAAACAAUAAAACAUGAUAAAAAGGCAAUCCGUACUUUUUCAAAUUCCUUUUCAUGUAUUGCUAUGUAUGUAUAUAUUUGUUCUAGUGGC
Molecule: long non-coding RNA, 1187 nt
Filed under: Olea europaea (common olive)
Lineage: Eukaryota; Viridiplantae; Streptophyta; Magnoliopsida; Lamiales; Oleaceae
Description: long non-coding RNA (OEUR_LNC001408)
Source: RNAcentral